AAAUUGAAGAGUUUGAUCAUGGCUCAGAUUGAACGCUGGCGGCAGGCCUAACACAUGCAAGUCGAACGGUAGCACAGAGGAGCUUGCUCCUUGGGUGACGAGUGGCGGACGGGUGAGUAAUGUCUGGGAAACUGCCCGAUGGAGGGGGAUAACUACUGGAAACGGUAGCUAAUACCGCAUAACGUCGCAAGACCAAAGAGGGGGACCUUCGGGCCUCUUGCCAUCGGAUGUGCCCAGAUGGGAUUAGCUAGUAGGUGGGGUAACGGCUCACCUAGGCGACGAUCCCUAGCUGGUCUGAGAGGAUGACCAGCCACACUGGAACUGAGACACGGUCCAGACUCCUACGGGAGGCAGCAGUGGGGAAUAUUGCACAAUGGGCGCAAGCCUGAUGCAGCCAUGCCGCGUGUAUGAAGAAGGCCUUCGGGUUGUAAAGUACUUUCAGCGAGGAGGAAGGCAUUAAGGUUAAUAACCUUAG
Molecule: ribosomal RNA, 475 nt
Filed under: Citrobacter freundii
Lineage: Bacteria; Pseudomonadati; Pseudomonadota; Gammaproteobacteria; Enterobacterales; Enterobacteriaceae
Description: bacterial SSU rRNA
Rfam family: Bacterial small subunit ribosomal RNA
Source: RNAcentral